Long non-coding RNA from Lingula anatina, 744 nucleotides. NCBI's taxonomy places the organism in Eukaryota, Metazoa, Brachiopoda, Lingulata, Lingulida, Lingulidae. The record is from RefSeq and is a predicted model, not a curated record.
AAUCCCCAUUGGGGCCACAUUUAACACCAUGGGAAUCCCCUUGUAAUGAAGGUAAAAAAUUCUAAGGAAGUCCAAUGGAUUUUCUUUUUUAAACAUAAAAUCAAUUGAACAUUUCUAAUAUGAAUUUUCAGAAAGACACCAGAGAGCAAAUUAGAUAAAAUCACCCAGACGGAAAACACCGGAAGGCUUUGUCAAUUUCACCAACUUGUUUAAAUUUCAAACAGCGCAUUUUUCGCGCAUGCGCAGUUGUUUGAAUCCUGUGCUCAUUCAAGUAUAAUAGACGUCUGUAACAUGUGGUCGAUGACUGGAUUUUGACCAGUUUAAUUCAAACUUGAAAGGACCACUGUUGAAGACACGCACUAGGAUUAAUAUUAAUAGGCUGUUUGGAAAUUGCAACGUAAUUCCAAGGCAUCACUAAUAAGAUGAAGACCGUGAUUGUCUUUGUGCUUUUACUAGCAGUUGGGAUAGACUGCAAUCUGGAAAAAUUGGGGCCAACCUACCUAUCAAGCUUAUGUCCGGGAGAUUUGGAGUGGUCCUACUGCGGUACCGCGUGUCCGCUGGUUUGCGGGAAAAAAAGAGCAAAUCCGCUGCAUCCAGAUGUGUGCCAUUGGCUGUGCUUGUCCCCGGGACAAGAAAAUCCGGAUCAGCAAGACCAGCACCCAAUGUGUGAAGAGUAGGGAGGAAUGUCCGCAGUGAAACGACAAUCACUAUUAUCUCAAUAUUCUGUCAACAAGUAUGAUUUCA